RNA transcript from Humulus lupulus (European hop), 2908 nucleotides. RefSeq lists it as uncharacterized. The transcript is spliced from 3 exons. The record is from RefSeq and is a predicted model, not a curated record. Lineage: Eukaryota; Viridiplantae; Streptophyta; Magnoliopsida; Rosales; Cannabaceae.
AGCACUACUUUAACGGCAACAAAAUAGAAAUCAAGAUUUGCCCAAUUCUCUCCCACUUCUGGAGAGAGAAAGACAAAACAAACAGUCUGAUUUUCCGAGAAAAUUUUGGCAAAGAUUUAGUCCAGGAAAAGUAAAGGCAUAAUUUCGAUUCCGAUCUUAAAAUUUCACCUAAUAACAUUUUCGUUCUCGUUCUUUGCUUUCGAACUUUGAUUGAACGCGCCGAAGAUUAAUUUUUAGGGUUUCAAUUUGGGGGGGAAAGAAAAUAAAAGAGAAAAUGAACGAUCAAUCUCAGAUGAUGAAUCAGGCCCAAAUGAUGGGUCUGAAUCAAUCGCAGAUGAUGAACCAGCAACCGCAGAUGAUGAUGAGCCAAUCGCAGAUGAUGAACCAGAUACCUCAGUCGUCUCAGCCUCAGUUGAUGAGUCAGUCGCAAGCCAUGGCGUCUCAGAUGAUGACGGCGGGUCAGUCUCAACCUCCGAUGAUGAAUAGAAGCCAUGGCUACAAGGGUUGGCCUCAACAACAACAACAACAGCAACAGAAAAAUCAGCAGAAGCAGCAACAGCCUUCUUUGGACCCGAGCAAGAAGUUUCAGAACUCUGCAAAGCCAAAUUUCUCUUCUCAAAAUAUUGGAAGAAACAAUUGGAAGGGAAAGAAGGGUACGGACAAGCGACUAGAUCCAAGAAGAAACGAACCACUUGUUCUUCCUAAUGCUUCCAUGACCAUGACUGGUGGUCCGAACAGUAGUGGCGGUGGCGGUGGAGGAGGAGGAGGAGGGUACAAACCCCCUACUCUUCACGAAUUGCAGUCACAGAAUCGAUUAAAAGCGAGGAAAUUCUACCCUAAGAAGAAGUUUAACAAUAGAUUUGCCCCUUAUGCGCCUAGGAACACUACUUCUUUUAUAAUCCGUGCUAAGAAAUCUGGUGGUAUUGCUUCGUUGGUGUCUCCUUGUCCGGUGACACCGGCGGUGCUUCCAACGCCGAUAUUCUCGCCGUCUAGGGAGAUUUUAGGCGAUAUGGCUAAAGAGGAGUGGGGUGUUGAUGGGUAUGGGUCGAUGAAAGGGUUGAUUAGGCUGCGUUCACCUGGGAAUGAUGAUGAAGAUGAUGAGGAAGGUGGUGGGGGUUCGAGUGAGAGUGAUGUAGAGGAACAUGUAGAGGUGGAGAGGAGAUUGGACCAUGAUUUGAGCCGAUUUGAGAUGAUAUACCCGAACUACAGUGGGAUGGAUUAUAACAAUGUUUUGGAGAAUAGAGUGGAUGAUCAAGAUACCCAUAUAGCUCAAUUGGAAGAAGAGAAUUUAACAUUGAAAGAAAGGCUUUUCUUGAUGGAGAGGGAGUUGGGUGAUUUCAGGAGGAGGCUGCAGUUUCUUGAAAGGCAGAGUCAUGCUGUGGUGGGAGAUGUUCAUGAAGAAGUGGUGGAAAAUGAGUCUGAUAAUGAAAGUGAGGGAGGGUCGGGUGCCCCUGAUAUGUGUCUGAGUGGAAAGAACAAUGAAGAAGUGAUUGAAUAUAUGUCUGGACAAGAAGGUAGCAGGGAUUUUGAUGGAGAUUCUAAGGAAACUGAACGUGUAGGGGAUGUUUCUAUGGAAGAAUUUGGACACCAUGGAGGAGUGAUUGUUAAGGAAAAUGAAGUAAAGGGUGACAUUGCUACUGCUGCUGCUGAGACCAAAGAUGAAGAUGAGGCUGCUAAGAUGGAGGAGGUACCAGAUGAAGCAAUGACCGGAAACGAGGAGGAAGGAGAAGAAGAAUUAAAGGGUAACUUGGCAGAGAAGAAGGAGGAGGAGGUGGAGAUUACUACUUGCUCAGAGAAGAAGAGCAUUGGUGACGGUGACUGAUGUCCCGCAUUAAUUCUGAUUGAUGGUCUGAGCAAGAAGAGCUUUUUGCAAGUUCUAGUUGAGGCUGGUAAGUAAAUAUGCAAGAUUUUAUCCAGGGACGAAACAGUCUCAUUGAGAAAUAAUAUUGGUCCUCUUUGCUAGUAACUUGAUAAUGUUGUUGCUAGUUGGAUAAAAUGGCACUUCGGAUGAGAAGAAGGAGCAACAAAAGCUCAGGAUCCUAUGAAUCAAACUGAAGUAUGUUGGGACUCUUUAAUAUUUGCUUUGCCAAUGUUGUCAGCUAAUAAAAUGACUUGGUUACUUUAACCAAGUUGUUAAAAUACAGUUUUGCUGUCGAAUUAUUCAUUUGUGCUUUGCAAUUCUCUUCGAUUCCAACAUAGUAUGUAGUUUAUCUUAAGGAGGAGUAUCAUCAUCUGAGAAUGAACUGAAAACUUUGCUGUUUGAGAUCUUCAGCAUGAAUAAACAGUGGGCAAAUGAGUGGAAAUCCAUUCAUUCAUGCAGAGAAAGGUUUCGAUGCAUGGCGACAAUUUCUUGACCUCUAUUAUGAGGAAAAAAUGAGGGAAACUGUGUGGAGGCAAAUGAUUGGCACUGCUUUGGAGGAAAGUAAUAUUCAUCCGAGCAGCCAUUAAAAGUCCUGGUUCAAAUACAAUAUUUUACUAAUUUGGGAUGUGAAAUGUUGGGCAAUAUUCUACAAUAUUCCUUGCUUUGAUUAUUAGACAAUCUGAUGAUCUUGUAGAUUUAUUCUAGCAUGUUAGUUAAGAUUUUGAUCCAAGUUAUUCCUCAUUGACUUGUCCAACCCUUCUUGUUUAGUAAGUUUAAGUUCAUGCCUAGUAAAGCUAAUUCUUCUCAUAAAAAACUUGACCUAAUUAAAUUACUCUAAUUAGAUUGUGAUAUGUAGCGACUUGGUCCAACUUUUAUUAAAUUCCCAUUUAGUCUAAAACUAGUUGUCGUGAUGUACAAGUAUAGGUAGGAAUAAAGCUUGGUAUAUAUGGUUGUACUCUAAAGUCGGCCCUAGAUUUGUGUUUGGGGGCUACGGAACUACGAAGAAAAGAUUAUUGAAUAAUGUAAUUUUGUGUUAAAAAAAAUAUA